AAAGCCAAGCCCCAGGCAGGGUCAGCGGCCUCCCCUGGGCUGCAGACCCUAACCACAGAGACGCCCUGAAGAGAUCGAAUGGAGAGCAAAUGCUUAAAACAGGGAGGACCAGGUCUCUGGACAAGGCCACAGAGGAGCCCGAGCUGCUGUGGGGGUGGCCAACAACUGUGCUUGGCAGGAAGCAGGUGCUUGGGAAGAAGUUGGGGCAGCAGAGAAAUGGGACGCAGUCGGCACCACUGUGGAACAUUUAGUUUGCGGGGACUCU
Molecule: long non-coding RNA, 265 nt
Organism: Fukomys damarensis (Damara mole-rat)
Lineage: Eukaryota; Metazoa; Chordata; Mammalia; Rodentia; Bathyergidae
Exons: 3
Source: RefSeq, a predicted model, not a curated record